This is a long non-coding RNA of Scophthalmus maximus (turbot), 2739 nucleotides long. RefSeq lists it as uncharacterized. The transcript has 4 exons. The record is from RefSeq and is a predicted model, not a curated record. NCBI's taxonomy places the organism in Eukaryota, Metazoa, Chordata, Actinopteri, Pleuronectiformes, Scophthalmidae.
ACAAAAUUGCCACGGAUGGAGGGGGUCAAAAAGGGCCCAACAACAUUGAUUUGCACAUUUCUUUCCACCAAGAUUGACUGAAAAAAGCACCAGCAAAAUAGUCCAGCUAUACAGUAAAGAAGCUUUAAAAAAAAGAAGAAGAAACAAACCAACCAACACACUUGCAGCGAUAACAGUUGUCUGCCCAUGUUGUUGCUUAACAGUUUCCGGCCACAGGUGGCAGUAGUGGGCUCCACCAGUCCAGUGAAUGAGCAUAGGAAGCGUAGAAGAAAUUACGCGCCAACUCUUGUAUUUCAAAGCGGGUUGUUUUGAGUUCGACGGGAUUUACUUUUACACUACAGAAACAAACCUUGUUCUUCUGACUUUUCACACGCACGUCUUGAUUACGUUGAACGGUGCACGGUCACCGGGAGCGGAGCUAAUUUACUUAAGCACUGGAUAAGCUAGCAGUGCCACGGGGCGCUGCAACCAUCUGUUUCAGGCCGGCGACAAAUGAGUGCAACACCAACGUUGUGGUUUCUCCUUCUGUCGGUGACUCCACUCCUCGCAUCCGGAAUCGUCAGGAUGUAAUAAUCGUCAUGGCAACUCCAUCAACUUGACUGAUACGCUUGAAACACACCGGGUCCAGAGAGGAUGUUCUCCUGAAGGUGAACACCUACCUAUGAGCCCCGUGUAGGCGAGAAGGCAGGCUCCAUAGUUUCCUUGCUUGCAGCCACUCGCAGACGUUUCGGAGGGUUCGCAGUCGUACUGAAACUGUGCCAGACGAGACCUACAGAAACAAGAACAUGGUUGGUGAUACAGCCAGGGGUUGUGGUUGUGUUAGAUUCCUAGACUGUACGUCGCCUACAUGUGACUUUGACUCUAGCAGCUUUGAACGAAGCUCAUGCAAAUACAUUUUUAAAGGCAGCGCCACAAGAUUUAUACGACGCCGCUGAGGUCUUAAACGCUUAUCCCUGGAGAUGAAUGCCGGCCUAUUGGGCAGCCCACAAUGUUUCAAAAGUAUCCCAGAUGACUACGUGGCAGAGGUACUGUUGACAAUUUGUACCGUUUUGAUUUUAACCAAGGGAAUAACCACGGAACUCUCAAACAUUGAUCAGAACCAGCAUCUUACUCUGCAGCCAUGUUUGUGUUCUUAAAAACUGCGUUUCUCUCUCUGGUGUUUAUUCUCAUGCAGGGUGAGCUAAAGUGCAGUAACCUCACUUAAGGUCGGCUGAUUUCACAUGAAGCAGUCGUUCAUCACCUCAGUUCUGGAGUCGCCCUGCGUGGCAGCGGUGGUAUCCAAUCUGGACAGCGCGAAUGCAAGUUGGAGAUUGUUUCCAUAUGGGCCGUGUUUCGAGCAGUGUCGCUCUGUUGCGUGGCACGAAAAAACAACGGCUUUCGUUUCGUAGUCCGCCCACUACAAGCACGCAACGUGAAACAGUUAGACAACGUUCACACCAGCAGCCGUAAACAACACAGUCCACCUUUAACCUGCGUGAAUAAAUCAACAGCAGGUUGCUGGAAAUUCUCACGAGAACCACAGUUCACGAUGUUAGGGUCAAAGUACCUGACCAAUUAUUCAUAUCACCAUCAUUUAAGAUUAAUGAUAUAAAAAUACAAAGCCAAUUAGGACUUUACAGGAGACUAUUAAAAAUCAGGGACAGGGACAUUAAAUUGUAAAAAAUAAUCAUUUGAAAUGGAAGAACAUUGGGAUACAAACAUACUGGUAAAGAUUCCAAAUAGAAUUUAUAAACCUGAACCUAUGAAUCAAAUUUAACAUUUCUCUAACUCCUGUGUGACGAUUCACCCCUUUUUUCUGUUUUAUAUCAUUUUGUAAAAUUUGAAAGUGCCACUUUGCUGUAGGGGUAUGACGGGUAUUCUGACAUUUUCAACAACUUUAUAAUUAAAGUUGAUAUUGAAUUGUCUGGAUUAGAACAUGUCAGAAUACCUGUCAUACGCUCCUAGAUGCGUUCUUUACUCAGGAAGUCAGUUGUGAGAAGAGUUAUAUAUUGCCUAAUUUAAAAAAAAUUGAUUUCAUAUCUUACUACCCCUGACUGAAAAAAACAAUAUUUUUCCAAUAUCUUAUUAAACCCAGUACAGAUUGCUUAAGCAGCAUACCAUGAGCAUCUCACUCUGAGAUGUUAAACCUCUGAUAUAUGUGUAGUAUUUGUGAUGUGUAGUCAAGUCUUACAAGAAAUGAGUAAAACUGCACAUUUUCUGCACUUAACAUUAACAUUUUGGGGGAAAUAUGCCAUCGUUUAUCUCCUUAAAAACAGUCAAGUGCUCCCUAUCUGCAUAAUAAGGUGAUGACAGUAAUAGGCCACUUUAAGAUCACUGUAGUAUUUGAAAUGUAUAUUUUGUGUUUUGUACUUAAGAAUUAAAGACUCUUUCUCUGCAUAACAAUAACUGGCCUUUGUUAAGCUCGCCCCUUUUUCUUUCCUCAAACACUUGCCUCAUUUCCUGCCUCCUCAGGCUUCAAACUAUAGCUCCUAUCUGGCCCGUUUUUUUGCCAGCGUGGCCUCUUCGACCCCUCCGCUUUCCCCACUUGAAACAGACAUGCUGUGUGAUGUGAAGGACCGUACUAUAUGCACGCAUGCCCGAGCUCGACCCCUGCAGCGGGCUGCCGUGCCAAAAGUCCACGUCCCAAAGUUACAGAGCUCCGGCGGCAAUUCUGGCACGGCUUCUGAGGAUGACAACUGCCGGUGGGAGAGCUUCAGCUCCAGGAUGUGUCAAGAGGUCCGGCCUCCUGCCAUGCUGGGU